GCCGGUGUGACAAGAACAUCCU
RNAcentral lists this non-coding RNA (22 nucleotides) under Arabidopsis thaliana (thale cress). Lineage: Eukaryota; Viridiplantae; Streptophyta; Magnoliopsida; Brassicales; Brassicaceae. The record is from RNAcentral.